UUAAGUUCAGCGGGUAUCCCUACCUGAUCCGAGGUCAAAGACGGUAAUGUGGGCUUCGUGGACGCGGGCCGGGCCGCCUCGAGAAGCGCAAUGUGCUGCGCGAGAGGGGCCGUGGACCGCUGCCAAUGCCUUUGGGGCGAGUCCGCGCGCAGAGGCGGGACAGACGCCCAACACCAAGCAGAGCUUGAGGGUGUAGAUGACGCUCGAACAGGCAUGCCCCAUGGAAUACCAAGGGGCGCAAUGUGCGUUCAAAGAUUCGAUGAUUCACUGAAUUCUGCAAUUCACACUACUUAUCGCAUUUCGCUGCGUUCUUCAUCGAUGCCAGAGCCAAGAGAUCCAUUGUUGAAAGUUGUAACGAUUAAAUUUAUCAGAACAGGUAAUGCUAGAUGCAAAAAAGGUUCGUGAUGAGGUUCCAGCGGCGGGUUGCCCCGCCGAAGGAGAACGAAAGGUGCUCGUAAAGUAAGGGUGUGGUCAGUGGCCGGCCGAUCCCGCCGAGGCGCUCACGGCGCGGCCAUCGAUAAUGAUCCUU
Molecule: unclassified non-coding RNA, 529 nt
Filed under: uncultured Paraconiothyrium
Lineage: Eukaryota; Fungi; Ascomycota; Dothideomycetes; Pleosporales; Didymosphaeriaceae
Description: sequence contains ITS1, 5.8S rRNA gene, ITS2
Source: RNAcentral